This 93-nucleotide non-coding RNA is filed under the name Mediterraneibacter massiliensis. The record is from RNAcentral. Lineage: Bacteria; Bacillati; Bacillota; Clostridia; Lachnospirales; Lachnospiraceae.
UAAAAAGGGGUGCUCGCGUUUAAAGCGGGCUGAGAGUAAGCUGAGAUGCUUUAACCCAUAACCUGAUUUGGAUAAUGCCAACGUAGGGAUAUA